AGAGAAGAGAAUGGAGAGGCGGCAGAGAAGAUAAGGGGCGAGAGAGAGAGACAGAGAGAUCGAGAGUAAAGAAGAUAACAAAGUUUAGAUCAAUAAGAGGUGAAGAUAGAUGAUAACUUAAGGUGAUCGUCGUCGGAGCUUUUGAACCUUAGCCAAAAUCAUUCAACAGGGGAAAAACAAAAUGGGUAGUGAGGAUCAGAAUUUCUGGAUAACUGAUAUAGGUGGCCGGUUUAGGGACUUGUAUUGUUUUGGUUGUAAAGCUGGUACCAGUGGAGAAGCUUUCAUGAUACGUAAUGGCAGGCAUACUAGUAGUCACUUUAUGUUGGCAGUUUUUUAUUUAUACAUCUAUGGUUUAAAAAGUGUGGAGACAGUGGUGGUUUUAUUUGUUAAUUUAUCCCAUUUCAUUUUAAAAAGUAUGGAGAUAGCUUGUCAAUUUAAAAUUAUCGAAAUUGAACUUA
This is a long non-coding RNA of Papaver somniferum (opium poppy), 458 nucleotides long. RefSeq lists it as uncharacterized. The record is from RefSeq and is a predicted model, not a curated record. The transcript is spliced from 2 exons. NCBI's taxonomy places the organism in Eukaryota, Viridiplantae, Streptophyta, Magnoliopsida, Ranunculales, Papaveraceae.